AAAGAGCUCGUAGGUCGUUUGUUACGUCGGAUGUGAAAACCUGAGGCUCAACCUCAGGCCUGCAUUCGAUACGGGCAAACUAGAGUUUGGUAGGGGAGACUGGAAUUCCUGGUGUAGCGGUGGAAUGCGCAGAUAUCAGGAGGAACACCAAUGGCGAAGGCAGGUCUCUGGGCCAAUACUGACACUGAGGAGCGAAAGUCUGGGGAGCGAACAGGAUUAGAUACCCCGGU
This 230-nucleotide ribosomal RNA is filed under the name uncultured bacterium. RNAcentral's name for it is "partial 16S ribosomal RNA". It matches the Rfam family "Bacterial small subunit ribosomal RNA", at positions 562 to 791 of the family's 1533-position model. The record is from RNAcentral.